AAGGCCCAUGGACCAAAAAUCAAAUGCUCUGUAAAAAUGGCGACACCUCUACUUCCUUUCUUCAUCUUUUCCUUCUUCUCCAUUUCUUCUGUCGCUCAGUCAACCGGUUCUCUGCCUCAAACUGCUCCAAAAUCCCUAUCCAUCGGCUAUAUUCAGUUGGUUGGCGGUGGAGUGGUUGUCGGAGGUAGACGGUGGUGGGUGCUAGCGGUCUCCAGCGGAGGCAGUGACCAGUGGCAGGAGAUGGGAGUCGUCAAUGGCAGCAGGAGGCCGCUCGUUGAUGGUAGUUUCCAACAAUGGUGUUCAUGAAAGAGAACUAAUGAACCGAGAAGAAAGUAUCAGCAACAACAGGUUUUAUUACGGGACAACUCAUGAUGUUCAUAAUCUAUUAUGCGCCUCUGCAUCUAGCAUUGGGUAGACCUCAUACAAUAACUGUCCUAGCUCUACCGUAUCUUUUGUUUCAUUUCUUCUGAAACAAUCACAACACCAAGAUUUUUAUAUCAUUAAUAAAAGGGAAAAUUUUAAAAAAAUAUCUUUCCUCUGUAGUCUUUAGAAGUUACAAU
Molecule: non-coding RNA, 560 nt
Organism: Benincasa hispida (wax gourd)
Lineage: Eukaryota; Viridiplantae; Streptophyta; Magnoliopsida; Cucurbitales; Cucurbitaceae
Source: RefSeq, a predicted model, not a curated record